This 477-nucleotide ribosomal RNA is filed under the name uncultured bacterium. RNAcentral's name for it is "bacterial SSU rRNA". It matches the Rfam family "Bacterial small subunit ribosomal RNA", at positions 30 to 502 of the family's 1533-position model. The record is from RNAcentral.
UGAACGCUAGCGGCAGGCCUAAUACAUGCAAGCUGAGCGGCAACUUUUGUAGCAAUACGGAAGCUAGAGUAGCGUAAGGGUGCGUAACACGUAUGCAAUCUGCCCGCAACAGGAGUAUAGCUCUUCGGAAGGGGAAUUAAUGCUCCAUAGGAAUAUUGGGGGGCAUCCUUUGAUAUUUAAACCUGAGGGGGUUGCGGAUGAGCAUGCGCAUGAUUAGUUAGUUGGUAGGGUAACGGCCUACCAAGACGAUGAUCAUUAGGGGAACUGAGAGGUUGAUCCCCCACACUGGCACUGAGAUACGGGCCAGGCUCCUACGGGAGGCAGGCAGUAGGGAAUAUUGGUCAAUGGGUGAGAGCCUGAACCAGCCAUGCCGCGUGCAGGAAGAAGGCCUUCUGGGUUGUAAACUGCUUUUAUCUGGGGAUAAAAACACUGUGCGCAGUGGAUUGAAGGUACCAGAGGAAUAAGCCACGGCUAACU